UACGGAGGAUGCGAGCGUUAUCCGGAUUUAUUGGGUUUAAAGGGUGCGUAGGCGGGAUGCCAAGUCAGCGGUAAAAAUGCGGUGCUCAACGCCGUCGAGCCGUUGAAACUGUACUUCUUGAGUGCUGGAGAGGCAAUCGGAAUUCCGUGUGUAGCGGUGAAAUGCGUAGAUAUACGGAGGAACACCAGUGGCGAAGGCGGAUUGCUGGACAGUAACUGACGCUGAGGCGCGAAAGCGUGGGGAGCAAACAGG
Molecule: ribosomal RNA, 252 nt
Filed under: uncultured Oscillospira sp.
Lineage: Bacteria; Bacillati; Bacillota; Clostridia; Eubacteriales; Oscillospiraceae
Description: partial 16S ribosomal RNA
Rfam family: Bacterial small subunit ribosomal RNA
Source: RNAcentral